GUACGCUUGCAUUAUAUCUAAAAGAGUGACAGUAGGUAUAAAAUCUACACCCUAACUUUGAGCGUCCAUAUUUCUUUCAUAUAAACUCCAAAUGUCUCAAAAUUUAUACCAAAAUUGUAAAAAAAAACCUAAACUUUCUGAUCCUAUCCUCUAAAGCUCAAAUUCCCAUGAAAAAUUAACCCUAAUCUCUAAUAUGGCCUCGGGCAGCCUCCUUGAAGCCCAUUGGUCAUGAUUUUUGACCAAUAGGAAUGGAGAUUUUCAUCAUCCAUCUCCAUUCAUCUAUAUGGAUGCCCUAAACUUUCUUUUUGCUAUCAAAAUCCCUCUCCAAUUCUUUUCUUUACAAGAUUUAUUCAAUAUAUGUCCUAAACAUCAAAUUAAAGAACCAAAAUAA
Molecule: long non-coding RNA, 391 nt
Filed under: Physcomitrium patens
Lineage: Eukaryota; Viridiplantae; Streptophyta; Bryopsida; Funariales; Funariaceae
Description: long non-coding RNA (PPAT_LNC001664)
Source: RNAcentral